UGGAGGUAGUGACAAUAAAUCACAAUGCGGAACAAUGUUUUGCAAUUGGAUUGAGAACAACGUACAAACCUUAUCGAUAAACAAUUGGAGGGCAAGUCUGGUGCCAGCAGCCGCGGUAAUUCCAGCUCCAAUAGCGUAUAUUAACGUUGUUGCAGUUAAAAAGCUCGUAGUUGAAAUGAAGGGUAGUUGUGUAAUGAAUACAUUCGUGUAUUUUGUUAUUCAAGUACCCUCCUUCUAAAUUCGAUAUAUGAGUAUUAAUUUACUUGUAUAUGGUUUUAGACUUUUACUGUGAGAAAAUUAGAGUGUUCAAAGCAGGCAUUUGCUUGAAUAUAUUAGCAUGGAAUAAUCAUGUAUGAUUUUCAUGAUGUAUUUGAUUGGUUUGGUUGAUGAGAAUAAGAUUAAAAGGGACAGUUGGGGGUAUUCAUAUUCAAUAGUCAGAGGUGAAAUUCUCGGAUUUAUGGAAGAUGAACAAGUGCGAAAGCAA
RNAcentral lists this ribosomal RNA (484 nucleotides) under Blastocystis sp. subtype 3. RNAcentral describes it as "bacterial SSU rRNA". It matches the Rfam family "Eukaryotic small subunit ribosomal RNA", at positions 459 to 954 of the family's 1831-position model. The record is from RNAcentral. Lineage: Eukaryota; Bigyra; Opalinata; Blastocystidae.